RNAcentral lists this ribosomal RNA (253 nucleotides) under uncultured bacterium. RNAcentral describes it as "partial 16S ribosomal RNA". It matches the Rfam family "Bacterial small subunit ribosomal RNA", at positions 524 to 776 of the family's 1533-position model. The record is from RNAcentral.
UACGGAGGGGACUAGCGUUUUUCGGAAUUACUGGGCGUAAAGCGCACGUAGGCGGAUUAGUAAGUCAGGGGUGAAAUCCCGGGGCUCAACCUCGGAACUGCCUUUGAUACUGCUGAUCUCGAGUCCGGAAGAGGUGAGUGGAAUUCCUAGUGUAGAGGUGAAAUUCGUAGAUAUUAGGAAGAACACCAGUGGCGAAGGCGGCUCACUGGUCCGGUACUGACGCUGAGGUGCGAAAGCGUGGGGAGCAAACAGG